Molecule: transfer RNA, 73 nt
Filed under: Loxodonta africana (African savanna elephant)
Lineage: Eukaryota; Metazoa; Chordata; Mammalia; Proboscidea; Elephantidae
Rfam family: tRNA
About the family: Transfer RNA (tRNA) molecules are approximately 80 nucleotides in length.
Source: Rfam by way of RNAcentral
CCGUGGAUAGUUUAGCUGGUAGAGCAUCAGACUUUUAAUCUGAGGGUCCAGGGUUCAAGUCCCUGUUCAGGCA